This is a long non-coding RNA of Homo sapiens (human), 1359 nucleotides long. The record is from Ensembl. NCBI's taxonomy places the organism in Eukaryota, Metazoa, Chordata, Mammalia, Primates, Hominidae.
GGAGUCAUUUGGAAUAAACUUUCCCUGACUCACAAGGAUCCUCAGAAAUUAGGAGCUGUUGGGAGAAUGAGGAAUGACCUGGAUGCUGAAGAGGCACCCACAGAUAUCUAAGAGAGAGGGGGAAGAGGUCAUUUGGACACAGAGUCGUGGACAUAGAGAGGAGAGCAACCUGUGAUGAUGGGAGCAGAGAUUGCAGUGGUGCGCCUGCAACCAAGGAACACCACGGACUGCCCACAACUACCAGAAGCUUGGAAGAGGCAAGGGAGGAUUCUUCCCCAGAGUCUUCAGGUGGUGCACAGUCCUGCUGACACCUUGUUCUUGGACUUCCAGCCUCCAGAACUGUGAGAGAAUGAAUUUCUGUUGUUUUAAGCUGCCCAGUUUGUGGUCAUUUGUCAUGGCGGCCCUACGGAACUAGUACAGCCUGGACAAGCUCUAAGAUCUUCUUCCAGGCAGAGCAAGACCUAUAUCCUCUCCCGCCUUGACUCUGCAGAUAAACACAUGUCCUCAGCCAACCAGAUGGACUCAAGGUGACCUCACAAGUGCCUCCCUCUCCUGCUAAGGCCACCUGCCAGGGUCACUGUGUCACUCAGAUUCCCAACCUCAAAGAACCCCAACCUUUGGAGUCAACUCUCAUCAACCAGACACCAUAAUUUAAUUAGAAAAGGGGAGAUUUAAGAUAGAAAAACAAUACAGGACAUGGGUUUUCUGAGCAUGAAAUAGCUCCUGAACCCAAGAAAAAUUUCAUGUUCCAGUAGAAGGGCAUUGAUGACAAAGCCUGCUUCUGCCGUUUACUUGCUGGGGCUUUGGAUAAGACACUUGAGUGCUGUGAAUAUCAAGCUGGUCAUCUUUAAAAUGGGUCUAUCAUUCCUGCCUGGCCAAUUGCUUAGGGUUGUUUGGGGAACAAUUGAGAGAGACCGUGAGUGAACCAGGUUGAAAUGGAAAUUGCAUAUGAGUCUGAGGCAUUGAUUUUUAUUAGGGAGGCUACAAAACCCAGUUUUUAGUGAGAGAGGGAGAAAGUAUGAGAGGGAGAUGCUACUGGAAUUUAAUACUAGUGAGUUUCUCAGGCAGAGCUCAGGAUGAAGAAAUUUAUUUGCUCAAGGUCAACCAGCAAAAACUGGAAAAGACCUACAACUAGAAUUUGGGGUAUAAAAUUGUAUACUUGCUCCUGUUCUACCUUCUCACUGACCCCUUCCCUCCAACCUGCUCUAUGUAUUUUCUUUUUGAGACAGAGUCUUGCUCUGUCGCCCAGGCUGGAAUGAAGUGGCACAAUCUCGGCUCACUGCAACUGCUGCCUCCCAGGUUCAAGCGAGUCUCCUGCCUCAGCCUCCCAAGUAGCUGGGGUUACAGGCGUGUGCCACC